AAUAGCCUAACGGCUGAACCAGCAAUUUGGAAGAAUGUAUAGCAAUAGCUGAUUGCACCAACAAACAGUUGAUGCAAAAUUGAUUAUAUCAAAUAAAAUUCUAGGUAGAUUUUUGAUAAUGACAUUGCUUACCUAAGUCUUGACCAAAUUACGUGCCAGCAGUCGCGGUAAUACGUAAAAGACUAGUGUUAUUCAUCUUUAAUUGGUUUAAAGGGUACCUAGACAGCGAAUAAAGCCGUUGUAGGGACUAAUUCGCUAGAGUUACUUAUGAGGGGGUAUUAAAGUACUGCAGGUGUAGAGAUGAAAUUUUGUUAUACCUUUUUUCGUAUGAGAAAAUAUGGCACAGGUAUAGGUGAAAGCAUCCCCUUAUGUGAUAACUGACGUUGAGGGACGAAGGCUUUGUGUCGCGAACAGGAUUAGAUACCCCAGUAGUCAAAGCAGAAAAUGAUGAAUGUCAUAGAUUAGAUAUACAAUUUAUUCUAUAAAUGAAAGUGUAAGCAUUCCACCUCAAGAGUAAUUUGGCAACAUUGGAACUGAAAUCAUUAGACCGUUUCUGAAACCAGUAGUGAAGUAUGUUGUUUAAUUUGAUGAUACGCAAAAAACCUUACCACAAUUUGAAUAUUUAUAUAUAUCUUUUAUUGAUUUUUACUUACAUAUAUGUAAAUAAUUAAAAUGAUGCUUAAAUCUCGUUUGUGAGACUGAGCAUGAAAAAAGAUAAUAUCUUUACAAGCGUUGCACGGCUGUCUUCAGUUAAUGUCGUGAGAUUUUGGUUAGUUCCAUUAAAUUAACGUAAACCCUUACUUUAUUUUUAUAUAAAGUAGUUCCCCGCUAUAUUGGAUAUGAUAACAGGGACUAAGACAAGUCAUCAUGGCCUAAAUAUUGUGGGCUAUAGACGUGCCACAUAAACCUCACAAAAGGAUGUGAAAUUGUGAAAUUGAGCUAAUCCUCCAAAAAUGGAUAAACAUUUAAU
RNAcentral lists this ribosomal RNA (970 nucleotides) under Cladonia parasitica. RNAcentral describes it as "SSU rRNA". It matches the Rfam family "Bacterial small subunit ribosomal RNA", at positions 370 to 1298 of the family's 1533-position model. The record is from RNAcentral. Lineage: Eukaryota; Fungi; Ascomycota; Lecanoromycetes; Lecanorales; Cladoniaceae.